RNAcentral lists this ribosomal RNA (253 nucleotides) under uncultured bacterium. Its description in RNAcentral is "partial 16S ribosomal RNA". It matches the Rfam family "Bacterial small subunit ribosomal RNA", at positions 524 to 776 of the family's 1533-position model. The record is from RNAcentral.
UACGUAGGUGGCAAGCGUUAUCCGGAAUUAUUGGGCGUAAAGAGCGCGCAGGUGGUUAAUUAAGUCUGAUGUGAAAGCCCACGGCUUAACCGUGGAGGGUCAUUGGAAACUGGUUGACUUGAGUGCAGAAGAGGGAAGUGGAAUUCCAUGUGUAGCGGUGAAAUGCGUAGAGAUAUGGAGGAACACCAGUGGCGAAGGCGGCUUCCUGGUCCGCAACUGACACUGAGGCGCGAAAGCGUGGGGAGCAAAUAGG